This 2502-nucleotide ribosomal RNA is filed under the name Planctomycetota bacterium. RNAcentral describes it as "partial 23S ribosomal RNA". It matches the Rfam family "Bacterial large subunit ribosomal RNA", at positions 1 to 2513 of the family's 2925-position model. The record is from RNAcentral. Lineage: Bacteria; Pseudomonadati; Planctomycetota.
GGUCAAGUUACUAAGAGUGUAUGGGGGAUGUCUAGGCGCUGGGAGGCGAUGAAGGACGUGGUAGGCUGCGAUAUGCUCGGGGCAGGAGUCAAACAUCCGUUAAUCCCGAGAUCUCCGAAUGGGGUAACCCGUUAGAGCAGGGCAACCUGACUCUAUCAUCCAUGGUUGAAUGCAUAGGCCAUGUGAAGCUAACGCAGGGAACUGAAACAUCUCAGUACCUGUAGGAAAGGAAAUCAACCGAGACUCCGUUAGUAGCGGCGAGCGAAAGCGGAAUAGCCCAAACCAGAGAGUUUACUUUCUGGGGUUGCGGGCGCCGACACAAGUUAACUGAAGGCUAAUAGAACGUUCUGGAAAGUUCGACCAUAGAAGGUGAUAGUCCUGUACAUAAAAGCUGGAAGUUAAUGUUGGCGUACCAGAGUAGCGCGGAGCUCGUGGAACUCCGUGUGAAGCUGGGGGGACCACCCUCCAAGGCUAAGUACUACCCAGCGACCGAUAGUGAAUAGUAGCGUGAGCGAAAGAUGAAAAGUACCCCUAUUAGGGGAGUUAAAAGUUCCUGAAACCAUACACUUACAAGCUGUAGGAGCCCUAUGUUCCGAUUCGUCGGAAAAUGGGUGACUGCGUGCCUCUCGCAUAAUGAGCCGGCGAGUUACCGUUUGCGGCAAGGUUAAGCACUUAAGGUGCGGAGCCAUAGGGAAACCGAGUCUUAAUAGGGCGAUUUAGUCGCAGGUGGUAGACGCGAAACCAGGUGAUCUACCCAUGGCCAGGUUGAAAGGAAUGUAAAAAUUCUUGGAGGACCGAACCCACUAACGUUGAAAAGUUAGGGGAUGAGCUGUGGGGAGGAGUAAAAGUCUAAUCAAACCUGGAGAUAUCUCGUUCUCUCCGAAAUAGCUUUAGGGCUAGCCUUGAGCCACUACUCUACGGGGGUAGAGCUACUGAAUGGGGAUGGGGGGCCACCAGCCUACCCACCCCAACCAAACUCCGAAUACCGUAGAGACUAUCUCAGGAGUCAGACAGUGGGUGAUAAGAUUCAUUGUCAAGAGGGAAACAACCCAGAUCGCCAGCUAAGGUCCCGAAAUUCUGCUAAGUUCAUAAGGAAGUUGAAUUGCUGUGACAGCCAGGAUGUUGGCUUAGAAGCAGCCACCAUUUAAAAAGUGCGUAAUAGCUUACUGGUCGAGCAGUUUGGCGCCGAUAAUGAACGGGAAUUAAGUAGAAUACCGAAGCUGCGGAUGUGUCUUUUGACACGUGGUAGGAGAGCGUAGCUGUCAGCGUCGAAGCGGUACGGAAACGAGCCGUGGAGCGGCAGCUAGUGAUAAUGCCGGCAUGAGUAACGAUAAAACAGGUGAGAAUCCUGUUCGCCGAAAACCUAAGGUUUCCUGGGGAAGGUAAAUCCGCCCAGGGUUAGUCGGCCCCUUAGUCGAGGCUGAAAGGCGUAGACGAUGGAGAGCAGGUUAAUAUUCCUGCACCAUGUUAGUGGACGAAAGCAGUGACGCAUUCCUUAAGACAAUCCCGUGGCUAGUCGUGCGGGUCCCGCAAGGGCGAGGCCAUUUUACGAUGCUGAAGUUGUUGGCGGGAGUGCCGAGAAAUAGCUGCCGUAGGGUGAAGCUAGCGUGACCGUACUAAAACUGACACAGGUAGGUGAGGAGAAUAUCCUAAGGCGCUCGAGAAAACCGUCCUUAAGGAACUCGGCAAAUUGACCCCGUAAGUUCGCGAUAAGGGGUCCCUCCAGGUGCAACUAAUUUAUUAGUUGCAUGCUGAGGGCGCAGUGAAGUGGCUCUGGCGACUGUUUACCAAAAACACAGUUCUCUGCUAACUCGUAAAGAGGAUGUAUAGAGAAUGACGCCUGCUCGGUGCCGGAAGGUUAAAGGGAUGGGUUAUCCGCUUCGGUGGAGAAGCUCCUAACUGAAGCCCCGGUAAACGGCGGCCGUAACUAUGACGGUCCUAAGGUAGCGAAGUUCCUUGUCGGGUAAGUUCCGACGUGCAUGAACGGCGUAACGACUGGAGCACUGUCUCAACAACGGACUCGGUGAAAUUGUAGUAGUGGUGAAGAUACCACUUACCCGCGGAAAGACGGAAAGACCCCGUGAACCUUUACUAUAGCCUGGUAUUGAUGCCUGGCAUAACAUGCGUAGGAUAGGUGGGAGGCUUUGAGCUAUCGCUUUCGGGCGGUAAGGAGCCAACCUUGAAAUACCACCCUUGUUAUGUGAGUCGCCUCACCGCGAUCCGUGAAUCCGGACGUGGGAACGUGCCAGGUGGGUAGUUUGACUGGGGCGGUCUCCUCCUAAAGAGUAACGGAGGAGUGCAAAGGUACCCUCAGCCCGGUUGGCAAUCGGGUUUCGAGUGCAAAGGCAUAAGGGUGCUUAACUGCGAGAGAUAUAGCUCAAGCAGAUACGAAAGUAGGUCUUAGUGAUCCGGCGAUCCCUUGUGGACGGGUCGUCGCUCAACAGAUAAAAGGUACUCCGGGGAUAACAGGCUGAUCGCCUCCGAGCGUUCAUAGCGGCGAGG